CCUGAGUACGACGGAGCACGUGAAAUUCCGUCGGAAUCUGGGAGGACCAUCUCCUAAGGCUAAAUACUCUCUAGUGACCGAUAGUGAACCAGUACCGUGAGGGAAAGGUGAAAAGUACCCCGGAAGGGGAGUGAAAGAGAACUUGAAACCGUGUGCUUACAAGUAGUCAGAGCCCGUUAAUGGGUGAUGGCGUGCCUUUUGUAGAAUGAACCGGCGAGUUACGAUCUGAUGCAAGGUUAAGCAGAAAAUGUGGAGCCGUAGCGAAAGCGAGUCUGAAUAGGGCGAAUGAGUAUUUGGUCGUAGACCCGAAACCAGGUGAUCUACCCUUGGUCAGGUUGAAGUUCAGGUAACACUGAAUGGAGGACCGAACCGACUUACGUUGAAAAGUGAGCGGAUGAACUGAGGGUAGCGGAGAAAUUCCAAUCGAACUUGGAGAUAGCUGGUUCUCUCCGAAAUAGCUUUAGGGCUAGCCUCAAGUGAUGAUUAUUGGAGGUAGAGCACUGUUUGGACGAGGGGCCCCUCUCGGGUUACCGAAUUCAGACAAACUCCGAAUGCCAAAUAAUUUAACUUGGGAGUCAGAAUGUGGGUGAUAAGGUCCAUAUUCGAAAGGGAAACAGCCCAGACCACCAGCUAAGGUCCCAAAAUAUAUGUUAAGUGGAAAAGGAUGUGGCGUUGCCCAGACAACUAGGAUGUUGGCUUAGAAGCAGCCAUCAUUUAAAGAGUGCGUAAUAGCUCACUAGUCGAGUGACACUGCGCCGAAAAUGUACCGGGGCUAAACAUAUUACCGAAGCUGUGGAUUGUCCUUUGGACAAUGGUAGGAGAGCGUUCUAAGGGCGUUGAAGCAUGAUCGCAAGGACAUGUGGAGCGCUUAGAAGUGAGAAUGCCGGUGUGAGUAGCGAAAGACGGGUGAGAAUCCCGUCCACCGAUUGACUAAGGUUUCCAGAGGAAGGCUCGUCCGCUCUGGGUUAGUCGGGU
RNAcentral lists this ribosomal RNA (975 nucleotides) under Staphylococcus pseudintermedius. RNAcentral describes it as "partial 23S ribosomal RNA". It matches the Rfam family "Bacterial large subunit ribosomal RNA", at positions 407 to 1389 of the family's 2925-position model. Lineage: Bacteria; Bacillati; Bacillota; Bacilli; Caryophanales; Staphylococcaceae. The record is from RNAcentral.